Molecule: ribosomal RNA, 504 nt
Filed under: uncultured bacterium
Lineage: Bacteria
Description: partial 16S ribosomal RNA
Rfam family: Bacterial small subunit ribosomal RNA
Source: RNAcentral
AUUGAACGCUGGCGGCACGCCUAACACAUGCAAGUCGAGCGGUAACAUGCUUAGUAGCAAUACUAAGUGAUGACGAGCGGCGGACGGGUGAGGAACACGUAGGAACCUGCCCAAGAGAGGGGGAUAACUAAGGGAAACUUUAGCUAAUACCGCAUAAUUCUCUGAGGAGAAAAGUUGCCCGUAAGGGUAGCACUUUUGGAGGGGCCUGCGUCCGAUUAGUUAGUUGGUGAGGUAAUGGCUCAUCAAGACUGUGAUCGGUAACUGGUCUGAGAGGACGACCAGUCACACUGGGACUGAGACACGGCCCAGACUCCUACGGGAGGCAGCAGUGGGAAUCUUGGACAAUGGGGGCAACCCUGAUCCAGCGAUGCCGCGUGAGUGAAGAAGGCCUUCGGGUCGUAAAGCUCUUUAGGCUGGGAAGAAGGUUAGUAGUUUAUGAGAUAACUAGCUUGACUGUACCAGCAGAAUAAGCACCGGCAAACUCUGUGCCAGCCGCCGCAGUAA